RNAcentral lists this ribosomal RNA (441 nucleotides) under uncultured bacterium. RNAcentral describes it as "bacterial SSU rRNA". It matches the Rfam family "Bacterial small subunit ribosomal RNA", at positions 340 to 774 of the family's 1533-position model. The record is from RNAcentral.
UACGGGAGGCAGCAGUGGGGAAUAUUGCACAAUGGGCGCAAGCCUGAUGCAGCCAUGCCGCGUGUAUGAAGAAGGCCUUCGGGUUGUAAAGUACUUUCAGUCGUGAGGAAGGUGUUAAGGUUAAUAACCUUAGCAAUUGACGUUAGCGACAGAAGAAGCACCGGCUAACUCCGUGCCAGCAGCCGCGGUAAUACGGAGGGUGCGAGCGUUAAUCGGAAUUACUGGGCGUAAAGGGCACGCAGGCGGUUAAUUAAGUUGGAUGUGAAAUCCCCGGGCUUAACCUGGGAAUGGCAUUCAAGACUGGUUAGCUAGAGUCUUGUAGAGGGGGUUAGAAUUCCAUGUGUAGCGGUGAAAUGCGUAGAGAUGUGGAGGAAUACCGGUGGCGAAGGCGGCCCCUGGACAAAGGCUGACGCUCAUGUGCGAAAGCGUGGGGAGCGAAAC